CUCUUAUACACGAUCUCCAUUUCAAAUCUCUUUUUUUUUUUAUAAAAUGUUACAAAUCAGAUACAACAUGUAGGUAUUCUUUGGAACGAAAACGUUAUAUUUGAACAAACUGAUAAUAUAUUACAUCAAUCGUAUCAACAACAUGUUACAAAAUGUAGUACAGCAACACUGUUAGUAAUGUUUUAAUGCCUAACUCGCCAAUUGGUGGCUUUUAAUUUUCAGCGCAAUUAUUACUUCUAGUGUUUAUUCAAAUUUUUUUUAGCAGAAGGCACGUUAUGGUUUGACAUAUUCAAUAUUUCAAUUUGUCGAUGUAAUUAUGGAAUAACAUUGAAAAUGUCGUCAUUAACAUGAUGUCGUAAUAUUUUGUAGACAUAAUCGAUGCUAAUGAUUAGCAAAAGAUGAUUAUUUGGUGCCUGUGUAUUCUUCAACAUAGAAUCAAUCAAUUUUUGUUUUCCUAUCACGAUUUCCUUGAUAGAGUGUUGCUGUUCACAAGGAAUAUAUUUAAAAAAUGUCCAAGUGGUGAAGUUGAAAUGGUCACUUCGUAAAUAUUCCUGACACAAUCACGAGUGUUAUGGUAUAUCCGUGUCACAGAUGACAGCAGACAUGUUCAAAAUUACUAUCUACAAUCCCGUUCCCUUUCUACCAAAUGUGACCUAUCGAAUUAGACUUACCGAAUUUGUUCAAAGAUAGGAUACACGAUGGCUGCAACAUCUGAGGCAAUAUCUCCUUAUCCUUCUUGUAUA
This 743-nucleotide long non-coding RNA is filed under the name Mytilus galloprovincialis (Mediterranean mussel). Lineage: Eukaryota; Metazoa; Mollusca; Bivalvia; Mytilida; Mytilidae. The record is from RNAcentral.